Hippopotamus amphibius kiboko is the source of this 4095-nucleotide RNA transcript. It is a transcript of the gene named phosphatidylinositol glycan anchor biosynthesis class O, with no coding region annotated. Lineage: Eukaryota; Metazoa; Chordata; Mammalia; Artiodactyla; Hippopotamidae. The transcript has 11 exons. The record is from RefSeq and is a predicted model, not a curated record.
GUCUCCCAAGACCUCCUUACGCUCGGUUUUCCCCGAAGUGAGGGACCCUCCUACCCUACUCAGAGCUCGCAGUCUAGCGGGCCCAGUGCCCAGGUCAGGGUGCCCAGCCCGAGGCCGGAUAGCCAUCUGAGGAGGCAGAGCCCUGCCGACGUCUGGGUCCCAGCGAGGCCCAGCUGCCCCAAGACCUCGGCGCCUCUGCCCUGCUGUGCCGGGGAGGUCGCGCUUCUGGUCUCCUGGCGAUCUUGGCUCUCCGGAAACGGAGUAGGACUCCUUCCCUUCGUCCCCUGGGUCCCCGCCAGGCGGCGCCAUCAGCCUGGCCGGGAUUCUGCGGCUGCGAGCCCUGGCCCACUCCAGGGGUGUUGAAAUUGGCGAGAGAGGAGAAACGGGCUGUCAGAAAGCAGUCUACCACUUGGAAUAACUUUUCCUCGUGGACUGUGUUUUCCAUCAUUAGGAUCUCCUGGAGUACAAAUUCCUAUGCUCCACCCCCGAUCGUCCUGAUUCAGGGGAAUCUGUGGUGGCGCCUGGAAAUCAGCAUUUUAAAGCAGCUGCUCCACGUUGAUGCCCGUAGUCUGCGCACCUCGCCUUCAGAAACUCUGGAUGCAGAAGACCUCAGUGCUGCUCUUCCUGGCCUGGGUGAGCUUCCUCUUCUACGCCGGCAUUGCUCUCUUCACCAGUGGCUUCCUGCUCACCCGUUUGGAGCUCACCAACCAUAGCAGCUGCCAAGAGCCCCCAGGCCCUGGGUCCCUGCCAUGGGGGCGCCGAGGGGAGCCCGGGGCCUGCUGGAUGGCUUCCCGAUUCUCCCGACUUGUGUUGGUGCUGAUAGACGCUCUGCGAUUUGACUUUGCCCAGCCCCAGCUCUCACGUGUUUCUGGGGAGCCUCCUGUCUCCCUGCCCUUCCUGGGCAAACUGGGCUCCUUGCAGAGGAUCCUGGAAAUUCAGCCCCACCAUGCCAGGCUCUACCAAUCCAAGGCUGACCCCCCGACCACCACCAUGCAGCGCCUCAAGGCUCUCACCACUGGCUCACUGCCUACCUUUAUUGAUGCUGGCAGUAAUUUUGCCAGUUACGCCAUAGCGGAAGACAAUCUCGUUAAGCAGCUUACUAGUACAGGAAGGCGUGUGGUCUUCAUGGGAGAUGAAACCUGGAACGAUCUUUUUCCUGGAGCUUUCUCCCGAGCUUUGUUUUUCCCAUCCUUCAAUGUCAGAGACCUACACACAGUGGACAAUGGCAUCCUGGAACACCUCUACCCAACCAUGGACAGUGGUGAAUGGGAUGUGCUGAUUACUCACUUCCUGGGUGUGGAUCACUGUGGCCACAAGCAUGGCCCUCACCAUCCUGAAAUGGCCAAGAAACUUAGCCAAAUGGACCAGGUGAUCCAGGGACUUGUGGAGCGUCUGGAGAAUGACACACUGCUGGUUGUGACUGGGGACCAUGGGAUGACCACGAGUGGGAACCAUGGAGGGGACAGUGAGCUGGAGACCUCAGCUGCACUUUUUCUGUAUAGUCCCACGGCCCUCUUCCCCAGCACCCCACCAGAGGUGAGGCCUGAGGAGCCAGAGGUAAUUCCUCAAAUCAACCUUGUGCCUACGCUGGCCCUGCUGUUGGGCCUGCCUAUCCCAUUUGGGAACAUCGGGGAGGUGAUAGCUGAGGUAUUCUCAGAGGUGGAAGACUCCCAGCCUCACUCCUCUGCUCUGGCCCAAGCCUCAGCUCUCCAUCUCAAUGCCCAGCAGGUGUCCCGAUUUCUUCACACCUACUCAGCUGUUGCUCAGGACCUCCAAGUUAAGGAGCUUCGUCGACUGCAGAACCUCUUCUCCAAGGCUUCUGCUGACUACCAGCGGCUUCUGCAGAGCCCCCAGGGGGCUGAGGCGGCACUCCAGACUGUGAUUACUGAGCUGCAGCAGUUCCUGCGGGGAGUUCGGGCCAUGUGCAUUGAGUCUUGGGCUCGUUUUUCUCUGGUCCGCAUGGCAGGGGGCGCUGCUCUCUUGGCUGCUGCCUGCUUUCUUUGCCUGUUGGUGUCCCAUUGGGCAACAUCCCCGGGCUUCUAUUUCCACCCUCUCCUAACAGCCAUGGCCUGGGGUCUGACUGGGGCUGUAGUGUGUGCUGGACUCCUGGCAGCUGCUGGGCUGAAGCUGGAUUCAGUGGUUCUAGGGGCUGUGGCUGCAGUGGGCUCACUCCUGCCUUUUCUGUGGAAAGCCUGGGCUGGCUGGGGAGCUAAGAGGCCCCUGGUAGCCCUGCUUCCCAUGCCUGGGCCUGUCCUGUUACUCUUGCUCAUUCGUUUUGCUGGUUUCUUCUCUGAUAGCUUUGUUAUAGCCGAGGCCAGGGCUGCCGCCUUCCUCUUGAUCUCACUCGUCUUGUUCCUGGUUGCCCGGCUUCACUGGGAGGGCAAGCUGCUGCCACCUAAGCUACUCACAAUACCUCGCCUUGGCUUUUUGACCCCAACAGGCCCCCCACGUCACAAUGGCAUGCAUGCCCUGGGGCUUGGAGUUGGGUUGCUUUUAUGUAUAAGGCUUGCUGGGCUUUUUCAUCGCUGCCCAGAAGAGACACCUGCUUGCAGCUCCUCUCCCUGGCUGCGUCCCCUGGCAUCCAUGGUGGGUGGUCGAGCCAAGAAUUUGUGGUAUGGAGCUUGUGUGGGGGCUCUGGUGGCCCUGUUAGUCGCUGUGCGCCUGUGGCUUCGCCACUAUGGUAAUCUCAAGAGCCCUGAGCCCCCUGUGCUCUUUGUGCGCUGGGGGCUGCCGCUAAUGGGACUAGGCACCUCUGCCUACUGGGCAUUGGCAUCAGGGGCAGAUGAAGCACCCCCACGCCUCCGGGCCCUGGUCGCUGGGGCAUCCGUUAUGUUACCUAGGGCUGUGGCAGGGUUGGCCGCUUCAGGGCUCAUGCUGCUGCUCUGGAGGCCUGUGACGGUGCUGGUGAAAGCUGCGACGGGAGCUCCCAGGACCAGGACUGUCCUCACUCCCUUCUCAGGCCCCCCCACUUCUCAGGCUGACCUGGAUUAUGUGGUUCCUCAAAUCUACCGACAUAUGCAGGAGGAGUUCCGGGGCCGGCUAGAGAGGACCAGAUCUCAGGGCCCCCUGACGGUGGCUGCCUAUCAGUUGGGGAGCGUCUACUCAGCGGCUAUGGUCAUGGCCCUCACCUUCUUGGCCUUCCCACUUCUGCUAUUGCAUGCAGAGCGCAUUAGCCUUGUGUUCCUGCUUCUGUUUCUGCAGAGCUUCCUUCUCCUGCAUCUGCUUGCUGCUGGGAUACCCAUCACCACCCCUGGUCCUUUUACUGUGCCUUGGCAGGCAGUCUCUGCUUGGGCCUUCAUGGCCACACAGACCUUCUAUUCCACGGGCCACCAGCCUGUCUUUCCAGCUAUCCAUUGGCAUGCAGCCUUCGUGGGAGUCCCAGAGGAUCGUGCCUUUACCUGGCUAUCUGCUUUGCUGGUGGGAACCAACACCUUUGCCUCCCAUAUCCUCUUUGCAGUAGGUUGCCCAUUGCUCCUGCUCUGGCCCUUUCUGUGUGAGAGUCAAGGGCCCCGGAAGAGGCGGCAGUCCCCAGGGAAUGAAGCUGAGGCCAGAGUCAGGCCUGAGGAGGAGGCGGAGCCACUGAUGGAGAUGCGGCUCCGGGAUGCGCCUCACCACUUCCAUGCAGCGUUGCUGCAGCUGGGCCUCAAGUACCUCUUUGUCCUUGGUAUUCAGAGGCAGAAGGUGUGACUGUGACAUUCCUUCCACCCUGGCAGACAGAGCCUGAGCGUCAGCAGCACAGAUGAAUAGUGCUUGCCCAAGGUCACACUGCAAAUCAUGGUAGGGCCAGGAAAAAAAUUAGGUCUCCUAACUCCUAGCCCAGGGUUUUUUCCAUUGACGUGCACUACUUUCCUUCCCCUUCCAUUCUUCACAGGGGCCUGCAGCAACUUUGUACUGACCUGCUUCCUGCUUCCCUUCCCAAAUAGCUUGACCCCUCCUCUCUUCCCUUAGAUUCUGGCCUGUGCCUUGGCAGCCUUCAUCCUCCGCAGGCAUCUCAUGGUCUGGAAGGUGUUUGCCCCCAAGUUCAUUUUUGAAGCCAUGGGCUUCAUUGUGAGCAGCGUGGGACUUUGCCUGGGCAUAGCUUUGGUGAUGCGAGUG